UACGUAGGGGGCAAGCGUUGUCCGGAAUCAUUGGGCGUAAAGAGCGUGUAGGCGGCCCGGUAAGUCCGCUGUGAAAGUCCAGGGCUCAACCCUGGGAUGCCGGUGGAUACUGUCGGGCUCGAGUCCGGAAGAGGAGUGUGGAAUUCCUGGUGUAGCGGUGAAAUGCGCAGAUAUCAGGAGGAACACCAAUGGCGAAGGCAGCACUCUGGGACGUGACUGACGGCUGAGACGCGAAAGCGUGGGGAGCGAACAGG
RNAcentral lists this ribosomal RNA (254 nucleotides) under uncultured bacterium. Its description in RNAcentral is "partial 16S ribosomal RNA". It matches the Rfam family "Bacterial small subunit ribosomal RNA", at positions 524 to 776 of the family's 1533-position model. The record is from RNAcentral.